RNAcentral lists this long non-coding RNA (538 nucleotides) under Olea europaea subsp. europaea. The record is from RNAcentral. Lineage: Eukaryota; Viridiplantae; Streptophyta; Magnoliopsida; Lamiales; Oleaceae.
GCACCCACAAAUAUUUUAUUAUAUAAANUUUGUAUUGUUGUUUUCUUUUUACCUUUUUUUUCAGGUCCGAUUUCGCAUAAUCUUCUUCAAUAUCUUUUUGUUGGUUUGAUAGAAUGGAUCCAAGAUUCCCUUGGCUUGUGGUUUUUCUCUUCUUGAUUUCGAUUCUUUAUUUUUUUUUAUUCGAUGGUAUCAAAAAUCUUCCCUUUUGCUUUUCAUUAAUCUUUUGAUUUUGAUUAUCAUUUUUAUUCAAAAUUAAAAGUAGUAAUUUGCUUGGUAUAAACCAAGAUUUCGUUUUAUAUGUAUUAUAAAGUAACAAAAUUUCUAGGAAAAACCAAAGUUCCAGAUUCAAUAUGGGACGCUUUAGUAUUUUUUUCAUUCAUCCCCAUCCAAUCAAAAAGACUUUUGAGGAGUUUGGUAACUUCAUUUCUGGAAUCAUAAGAUAAAAAAAUAUUUUUUUGAUCAAUUAUUUGAUAAUUAUUAGUAACAAUCUGUGUGUGUGUGUGUGUGAAUUUAAUAGCUUGUUGAUUCAUUAAUAAGU